GAUAAACGCUGGCGGCGUGCCUAAUACAUGCAAGUCGAGCGAACGGACGAGAAGCUUGCUUCUCUGAUGUUAGCGGCGGACGGGUGAGUAACACGUGGAUAACCUACCUAUAAGACUGGGAUAACUUCGGGAAACCGGAGCUAAUACCGGAUAAUAUUUUGAACCGCAUGGUUCAAAAGUGAAAGACGGUCUUGCUGUCACUUAUAGAUGGAUCCGCGCUGCAUUAGCUAGUUGGUAAGGUAACGGCUUACCAAGGCAACGAUGCAUAGCCGACCUGAGAGGGUGAUCGGCCACACUGGAACUGAGACACGGUCCAGACUCCUACGGGAGGCAGCAGUAGGGAAUCUUCCGCAAUGGGCGAAAGCCUGACGGAGCAACGCCGCGUGAGUGAUGAAGGUCUUCGGAUCGUAAAACUCUGUUAUUGGGGAAGAACAUAUGUGUAAGUAACUGUGCACAUCUUGACGGUACCUAAUCAGAAAGCCACGGCUAACUACGUGCCAGCAGCCGCGGUAAUACGUAGGUGGCAAGCGUUAUCCGGAAUUAUUGGGCGUAAAGCGCGCGUAGGCGGUUUUUUAAGUCUGAUGUGAAAGCCCACGGCUCAACCGUGGAGGGUCAUUGGAAACUGGAAAACUUGAGUGCAGAAGAGGAAAGUGGAAUUCCAUGUGUAGCGGUGAAAUGCGCAGAGAUAUGGAGGAACACCAGUGGCGAAGGCGACUUUCUGGUCUGUAACUGACGCUGAUGUGCGAAAGCGUGGGGAUCAAACAGGAUUAGAUACCCUGGUAGUCCACGCCGUAAACGAUGAGUGCUGAGUGUUAGGGGGUUUCCGCCCCUUAGUGCUGCAGCUAACGCAUUAAGCACUCCGCCUGGGGAGUACGACCGCAAGGUUGAAACUCAAAGGAAUUGACGGGGACCCGCACAAGCGGUGGAGCAUGUGGUUUAAUUCGAAGCAACGCGAAGAACCUUACCAAAUCUUGACAUCCUUUGACAACUCUAGAGAUAGAGCCUUCCCCUUCGGGGGACAAAGUGACAGGUGGUGCAUGGUUGUCGUCAGCUCGUGUCGUGAGAUGUUGGGUUAAGUCCCGCAACGAGCGCAACCCUUAAGCUUAGUUGCCAUCAUUAAGUUGGGCACUCUAAGUUGACUGCCGGUGACAAACCGGAGGAAGGUGGGGAUGACGUCAAAUCAUCAUGCCCCUUAUGAUUUGGGCUACACACGUGCUACAAUGGACAAUACAAAGGGCAGCGAAACCGCGAGGUCAAGCAAAUCCCAUAAAGUUGUUCUCAGUUCGGAUUGUAGUCUGCAACUCGACUACAUGAAGCUGGAAUCGCUAGUAAUCGUAGAUCAGCAUGCUACGGUGAAUACGUUCCCGGGUCU
Molecule: ribosomal RNA, 1372 nt
Filed under: uncultured bacterium
Lineage: Bacteria
Description: bacterial SSU rRNA
Rfam family: Bacterial small subunit ribosomal RNA
Source: RNAcentral